This 497-nucleotide ribosomal RNA is filed under the name uncultured bacterium. Its description in RNAcentral is "partial 16S ribosomal RNA". It matches the Rfam family "Bacterial small subunit ribosomal RNA", at positions 28 to 507 of the family's 1533-position model. The record is from RNAcentral.
GAUGAACGCUGGCGGCGUGCCUAAUACAUGCAAGUCGAGCGAACGGACGAGAAGCUUGCUUCUCUGUUGUUAGCGGCGGACGGGUGAGUAACACGUGGAUAACCUACCUAUAAGACUGGGAUAACUUCGGGAAACCGGAGCUAAUACCGGAUAAUAUUUUGAACCGCAGGGUUCAAAAGUGAAAGACGGUCUUGCUGUCACUUAUAGAUGGAUCCGCGCUGCAUUAGGUAGUUGGUAAGGUAACGGCCUUCCAAGGCAACUAUGCAUAGCCGACCUGUGGGGGUGGUCGGCCACCCUGGAACUUAACCACGGUCCAGACUCCUACGGGAGGCCGCAGUCGGGAAUCUUCCGCAGAGGGCGGAAGCCUGACGGAGCAACGCCGCGUGAGUGAUGAAGGUCUUCGGAUCGUAAUACUCUGUUAUUAGUGAAGAACAUAUGUGUAAGUAACUGUGCACAUCUUGACGGUACCGAAUCAGAAAGCCACGGCUAACUACGUG